UGCGUAGGCGGCUUUGUAGGUGAGGUGUGAAAUCCCACGGCUCAACCGUGGAACUGCGCUUCAAACCACAAGGCUUGAGGGAGGCAGAGGUAAGCGGAACUGAUGGUGGAGCGGUGAAAUGCGUUGAUAUCAUCAGGAACACCAGUGGCGUAGGCGGCUUACUGGGCCUCUUCUGACGCUGAGGCACGAAAGCUAGGGUAGCGAACAGGAUUAGAUACCCUGGUAGUCC
Molecule: ribosomal RNA, 229 nt
Filed under: uncultured bacterium
Lineage: Bacteria
Description: partial 16S ribosomal RNA
Rfam family: Bacterial small subunit ribosomal RNA
Source: RNAcentral